AUGUCUGCUGUCUGCUUUAAGCUGCUGGUUGUGCUUUGCCUUUCAUGGAUGAUGAUGAUGACUGAAGCAGAGUCUGAUACUAUUGUUUGGAAAAAAAAAGGGCAGCACUUCACCAUCCAAUGCCGCAAUACCCAGGACCCUGACACCUUUGAAAUGGUGCUUAACAAAGGUGUCCUUAAGGAGGAGACGCUUUUCCACAGAAUGGUCUCUAAUGGAAAAGACUCUUUUAUUAAAGAGGGACUUCAGGUAGAUGGUGUUUUCCCCAAUAUCGACUUUUUCAUCCAUGAUCUGAAGGUGGAGGACACAGGAGCUUACUGGUGUGUGUACUCCAAACUUGACAAAAAAAGCGACCUCAUUAAAAAAAACAGUCAAGGGUCUGUGCUGCUGGUGGUAACAGAAACAGCAAAAGAUGCAAAACAAGAAUGUGAAGAAUCAAACGACGGCCUGAACCUGGUGGCUGUGGCCAUCUCUGUGACUGUCAUCCUCUUCAUCACUGUGUCCUUCUUUUUUUGGAUCAUCUAUAAGAGAAAGACCACAGUGAAACGGAGCACUGUUCACACCAGUGAUGUUUAUGAGGACAUGCGAGCGACAACUAGACGUGUGAACACCACAUCCACGGGCUAGCUGCAGACGCAACGCUAACCCUCCACACCACAAGUGUUGCAUGUGAUGCAACUCAGCAAAACGCAACAAAGUUUGCAAGAACAUUUUCUGCAGACUCGGUUUCUGCUUCUUUGCACGUUCAUCAAAGACAUUCAGGGCAACGCGUGUAAUGUUGUAAAUGCUAAAAUAAACAACAACUUUUUACAAUAUUUGGCA
Molecule: long non-coding RNA, 819 nt
Filed under: Gouania willdenowi (blunt-snouted clingfish)
Lineage: Eukaryota; Metazoa; Chordata; Actinopteri; Blenniiformes; Gobiesocidae
Description: lncRNA (ENSGWIG00000017691.1)
Source: RNAcentral